UAGGGAAUCUUCGGCAAUGGGGGGAACCCUGACCGAGCAACGCCGCGUGAGUGAAGAAGGUUUUCGGAUCGUAAAGCUCUGUUGUUAAGGAAGAACGAGUGUGAGAAUGGAAAGUUCAUGCUGUGACGGUACUUAACCAGAAAGGGACGGCUAACUACGUGCCAGCAGCCGCGGUAAUACGUAGGUCCCGAGCGUUGUCCGGAUUUAUUGGGCGUAAAGCGAGCGCAGGCGGCUAGAAAAGUCUGAAGUGAAAGGCAGUGGCUCAACCAUUGUAGGCUUUGGAAACUGUUUAAAUUGAGUGCAGAAGGGGAGAGUGGAAUUCCAUGUGUAGCGGUGAAAUGCGUAGAUAUAUGGAGGAACACCGGUGGCGAAAGCGGCUCUCUGGUCUGUAACUGACGCUGAGGCUCGAAAGCGUGGGGAGCGAACAGG
This 429-nucleotide ribosomal RNA is filed under the name Bacteroidota bacterium. RNAcentral's name for it is "Bacteroidetes bacterium partial 16S ribosomal RNA". It matches the Rfam family "Bacterial small subunit ribosomal RNA", at positions 355 to 776 of the family's 1533-position model. The record is from RNAcentral. Lineage: Bacteria; Pseudomonadati; Bacteroidota.